UUGAUUGGUGCUUGCAUCAUGAUUUACAUUUGAGUGAGUGGCGAACUGGUGAGUAACACGUGGGAAACCUGCCCAGAAGCGGGGGAUAACACCUGGAAACAGAUGCUAAUACCGCAUAACAACUUGGACCGCAUGGUCCGAGUUUGAAAGAUGGCUUCGGCUAUCACUUUUGGAUGGUCCCGCGGCGUAUUAGCUAGAUGGUGGGGUAACGGCUCACCAUGGCAAUGAUACGUAGCCGACCUGAGAGGGUAAUCGGCCACAUUGGGACUGAGACACGGCCCAAACUCCUACGGGAGGCAGCAGUAGGGAAUCUUCCACAAUGGACGAAAGUCUGAUGGAGCAACGCCGCGUGAGUGAAGAAGGGUUUCGGCUCGUAAAACUCUGUUGUUAAAGAAGAACAUAUCUGAGAGUAACUGUUCAGGUAUUGACGGUAUUUAACCAGAAAGCCACGGCUAACUACGUGCCAGCAGCCGCGGUAAUACGUAGGUGGCAAGCGUUGUCCGGAUUUAUUGGGCGUAAAGCGAGCGCAGGCGGUUUUUUAAGUCUGAUGUGAAAGCCUUCGGCUCAACCGAAGAAGUGCAUCGGAAACUGGGAAACUUGAGUGCAGAAAAGGACAGUGGAACUCCAUGGUGUAG
This 635-nucleotide ribosomal RNA is filed under the name Lactiplantibacillus plantarum. Its description in RNAcentral is "bacterial SSU rRNA". It matches the Rfam family "Bacterial small subunit ribosomal RNA", at positions 69 to 678 of the family's 1533-position model. The record is from RNAcentral. Lineage: Bacteria; Bacillati; Bacillota; Bacilli; Lactobacillales; Lactobacillaceae.